RNAcentral lists this ribosomal RNA (220 nucleotides) under uncultured bacterium. Its description in RNAcentral is "partial 16S ribosomal RNA". It matches the Rfam family "Bacterial small subunit ribosomal RNA", at positions 57 to 305 of the family's 1533-position model. The record is from RNAcentral.
GCAAGCCGAGCGCUCUCUUCGGAGAGAGCGGCAGACGGGUGAGUAACGCGUGGGAACAUACCUAAUAGUACGGAAUAACGAUUGGAAACGAUCGCUAAUACCGUAUACGCCCUCAGGGGGAAAGAUUUAUCGCUAUUAGAUUGGCCCGCGUUGGAUUAGCUAGUUGGUGAGGUAACGGCUCACCAAGGCGACGAUCUAUAGCUGGUCUGAGAGGAUGAUC